UACGGAGGGUGCAAGCGUUAUCCGGAUUCACUGGGUUUAAAGGGUGCGUAGGUGGCCAGGUAAGUUUGGUGUGAAAGCUCGGAGCUUAACUCCGAAAUGUCAUUGAAUACUAUCUGGCUGGAGGGUCGGAGGGGAGACUGGAAUUCUCGGUGUAGCAGUGAAAUGCGUAGAUAUCGAGAGGAACACCAGUGGCGAAGGCGAGUCUCUGGACGACUCCUGACACUGAGGCACGAAAGCCGGGGGAGCAAACAGG
Molecule: ribosomal RNA, 253 nt
Filed under: uncultured bacterium
Lineage: Bacteria
Description: partial 16S ribosomal RNA
Rfam family: Bacterial small subunit ribosomal RNA
Source: RNAcentral